Molecule: non-coding RNA, 28 nt
Filed under: Homo sapiens (human)
Lineage: Eukaryota; Metazoa; Chordata; Mammalia; Primates; Hominidae
Source: RNAcentral
UGCCCAUGUACAAGAGCGGGGACCUGGU